Long non-coding RNA from Pongo pygmaeus (Bornean orangutan), 1671 nucleotides. RefSeq lists it as uncharacterized. The record is from RefSeq and is a predicted model, not a curated record. Lineage: Eukaryota; Metazoa; Chordata; Mammalia; Primates; Hominidae. The transcript is spliced from 3 exons.
CCAGAAACAAGUCGCCCCACACCAGGACGUGCGGUGAGAAGCCCCACACCAGGACUCGCGGACACGGUUAUAACAGAAGCCUCCCACCUCCCUGAAAAUACAAUACACUUCUGACAUCCUCCCAGUCUAAGAAAAGGCACAAAUAAUGUUCAAGUCAUGGGUGGCUUCAGUGAAAACUCUGGUGAAAUGAUGACAGUUUGGCUGGCUUGGAUGGUUUUGCUGCUAGUGUGAAGAAUGUAAUUGCUCAGGCCUCAGCCCGCUGGCCUGACCCCAGUGAGCCCCUGGCCACACACUGCUUGAUCCUCGAAAUGGAAAAUACAGGCAGCAAAGUCAGCAGGGGUCCGGCGACGCAGACGUUCUCGGAGUGGAGCGAAGUGCUGGAGAAAAGCACUCAGUGGAUGGGGUUUCUUUCUUCUUUUCUUUUCUUUUUUUUUUGAAUCACCUUGAUUGCAGCGCACCCAGGCUCAGGAGGGUAUGCCUGUGCUCCCACACAGCUCACACAGAUGGCCCUGGUCACCACCAGAACGCAUGCAGCUUUCUGCCCCACAUCUGACUUCCUGAAGCUCAGGCAGGCCUGGACAAUACCAUGCUAGCUGCCACUAAAGCUCCAAAGCCACGUUUUCCAGAUUGUCUUGAUCUCCCCAGAUAUUUUGAGUCCAGGCCUCACAGCCAUUCAACCACAGGCUUUAGAAUUGAGCCUGGCAUUUCAUAUCCUUUUCCAGUUUUCAAAAUAAGUCUUUCCUCUGGAGAAAAAUAUUGGCUUCCUUUAGAAGCUUGGGCCUGAAUUUGCUGCAUUUCUCUCAAGUCAGGCAGGGGUCCAGACCACGUUCUACGAUCUUUCCCCAAGCUCUGGGAAAAUCUUUCCCCAUCCUACCUUUGUGAGCAUGGUGGCAUAAAUGGACACUGUCCAGGAGAGGCUGCAGGAAUUAGCCCUUCAGGGCUGGGGAGAGCUGUGUCCUGCCCUUGGACUGUAGCUCUGGGUCAACUGAGGUGAGAAGAAUUCGUGCUUUCAACACCUCUUCCCUGUUGAAAUUUCUUCUGGGGCUACUAAUAAGUAGCCAAGGUUGAAAGCCUGACUUCACUUUCUUCUCUGUUUACUUGGUGACUGGUUUACACACCAACCAAGUGAACAAUCUGUCAAUAAGUAACCAGGAAUCAACUGUCUCAAUAUUUAAUAAUUCGUACCACCCACUAACAUCUACUGAGACUCUACUGUGUACAAGUUCUAUGAUGGGAAACAAAAGUCAAGAUGCCAAAGACCUGCCCUCAGGGAGCCUCCACUCCGGGAAGGCAGAGUCCAAAACAGACAAACAAAUGUAGCAUCAGGUCUCAUGGAAAUUCCAAGCUGGAGAACAUUAGCAACUCUUGAGUGUUUCCUGGAAGAGAUGGUGUUUGAGUUGGGCUUUGAAGGACAGGGAGGGAUUGGCACAGAGAGGGCAUUCCAGGGAUUCUACUGAUUAUUUAUUAGGCUGAUUGGAGUUACUUGGGCAAGCACGGUUACCCCUCCCUGACCACCGAAUACCCAACACUUAAGUCUUGCACUGGAAGAAUUGUUUUCACAACCAGGAAAAUUUUUGUUCCGAUAUAUGCAAAUCACCCAUGUUGGUGAUAAGAAAGAAAGGGGUUGGGGUAAGGAGGAAGAAAAGGAGGUAAAUUGGGCCUGGAGCAACU